RNAcentral lists this non-coding RNA (727 nucleotides) under Pan troglodytes (chimpanzee). The record is from RNAcentral. Lineage: Eukaryota; Metazoa; Chordata; Mammalia; Primates; Hominidae.
GGCCUGUCCUGGGGACCUGGCGAGGCCCGGCCUCUGCCAGCCAAGCCUGCUGGGGACGACCGAGGUAGCCCGGGCUCGGCUUAGGAAGGCAGCCGGACUCGCGGCCUUGGGGUCCGAGUCCGAACUCGCUCCUCUAGCGCCGGGCGGGGAGCGAGUGGGAGAGCGGCCGCGAAGCUCCAGUGCGCACCCCUCCCAGCUUUUUGCAAGGCCUACUUGGGGGCGGGGAGACAAGCAAGCUGUCAUGUUAUAAGCAGCCCUUUGAGGGGUCCAUGUGAUGUCAAGGAAUGAAGUCUCUAGCCAACAUUUAAUGAGGAACUGAGGCCCACCAACAAUCUUGAGUGAGCUUGGAAGUAGCUCCUUCAGCAUCAGUUGGGUGUCGAGAUGACUACUGACAGCUUGACUGCAACUUCAUGAGAGUCUUUUUGGACCAGAACCACUCAGUUAAGUGGCUCCCAGAUUCCUGAUCCUCAGAAACUCUGAGAAAUAAUGAAUGUUGGUUGUUUUAAAAUGGUAAAUUUUGAGGUAUUACGUUAUGUGGCAAUAGAUAACUAAUAUAUAAAUUAUUUGAAUCAAACAAUACAUUAAAUUAAAGCUCAGAAGAAUAAACAUCUGUAAUUCCUUAAUUUGUUUUCCCUUCUAUUCUACAGAAUAGAAUUUUACAGAUGAACCUUGUAGUUACUUGUGCAAUAAGAGACAGUAUGUUGUAUUGAUUAAGUGCAUAGCCUCU